RNAcentral lists this ribosomal RNA (207 nucleotides) under uncultured bacterium. RNAcentral's name for it is "partial 16S ribosomal RNA". It matches the Rfam family "Bacterial small subunit ribosomal RNA", at positions 568 to 774 of the family's 1533-position model. The record is from RNAcentral.
UGCGUAGGCGGUUUAUUAAGUCAGAUGUGGAAGCCCCGGGCUUAACCUGGGAACUGCAUUUGAUACUGGUAGACUAGAGUAUGGUAGAGGGGGGUAGAAUUCCUAGUGUAGCGGUGAAAUGCGUAGAUAUUAGGAGGAAUACCAGUGGCGAAGGCGGCCCCCUGGACCAAUACUGACGCUGAGGUACGAAAGCGUGGGUAGCGAACA